UUUAUGGUUUGUUUAUGGGUUUUAUUAGAGAGGAGGCAACUUUACAGAGAAUGUUACUAAAAAAUUAUCCAGUUGUAUUGUCCAGCUUAAAUUUCUAUGCAAAAUACACAGUUAACCCAUUGAGCCCCAGUGCGCCCUACUUAUUUUCUCACUUGUCUAAUGCCAGACGAUUUUACUUGUGAAUAUAGGGAAGCUCUGCAGCUUAAUAAAACAAAGUGAAUAAUACA
This is a non-coding RNA of Paramuricea clavata, 227 nucleotides long. Lineage: Eukaryota; Metazoa; Cnidaria; Anthozoa; Malacalcyonacea; Plexauridae. The record is from the annotation of a GenBank genome assembly.